This 440-nucleotide ribosomal RNA is filed under the name uncultured bacterium. RNAcentral describes it as "partial 16S ribosomal RNA". It matches the Rfam family "Bacterial small subunit ribosomal RNA", at positions 338 to 795 of the family's 1533-position model. The record is from RNAcentral.
CCUACGGGGGGCAGCAGUGGGGGAUAUUGCACAAUGGGGGGAACCCUGAUGCAGCGACGCCGCGUGAAGGAAGAAGUAUCUCGGUAUGUAAACUUCUAUCAGCAGGGAAGAAAAUGACGGUACCUGACUAAGAAGCCCCGGCUAACUACGUGCCAGCAGCCGCGGUAAUACGUAGGGGGCAAGCGUUAUCCGGAUUUACUGGGUGUAAAGGGAGCGUAGGCGGCAGUGCAAGUCAGAAGUGAAAGCCCGGGGCUCAACUCCGGGACUGCUUUUGAAACUGUACAGCUUGAGUGCAGGAGAGGCAAGUGGAAUUCCUAGUGUAGCGGUGAAAUGCGUAGAUAUUAGGAGGAACACCAGUGGCGAAGGCGGCUUACUGGACUGUAAAUGACGCUGAGGCUCGAAAGCGUGGGGAGCAAACAGGAUUAGAUACCAUAGUAGUC